Molecule: transfer RNA, 72 nt
Filed under: Stegostoma tigrinum
Lineage: Eukaryota; Metazoa; Chordata; Chondrichthyes; Orectolobiformes; Stegostomatidae
Description: tRNA-Thr
Rfam family: tRNA
About the family: Transfer RNA (tRNA) molecules are approximately 80 nucleotides in length. Their secondary structure includes four short double-helical elements and three loops (D, anti-codon, and T loops). Further hydrogen bonds mediate the characteristic L-shaped molecular structure. tRNAs have two regions of fundamental functional importance: the anti-codon, which is responsible for specific mRNA codon recognition, and the 3' end, to which the tRNAs corresponding amino acid is attached (by aminoacyl-tRNA synthetases). tRNAs cope with the degeneracy of the genetic code in two manners: having more than one tRNA (with a specific anti-codon) for a particular amino acid; and 'wobble' base-pairing, i.e. permitting non-standard base-pairing at the 3rd anti-codon position.
Source: RNAcentral
GUUUUGAUAGCUUAACCAAAAAGCAUCGGUCUUGUAAGCCGAAGAUUGGAGGUGAAAAUCCUCCCCAAAACA